UAAACGACUCUCGGCAACGGAUAUCUCGGCUCUCGCAUCGAUGAAGAACGUAGCGAAAUGCGAUACUUGGUGUGAAUUGCAGAAUCCCGCGAACCAUCGAGUCUUUGAACGCAAGUUGCGCCCGAAGCCAUUAGGUUGAGGGCACGUCUGCCUGGGCGUCCCAC
This 164-nucleotide ribosomal RNA is filed under the name Camellia parafurfuracea. RNAcentral describes it as "5.8S ribosomal RNA". It matches the Rfam family "5.8S ribosomal RNA". From Rfam's summary of the family: 5.8S ribosomal RNA (5.8S rRNA) is a component of the large subunit of the eukaryotic ribosome. It is transcribed by RNA polymerase I as part of the 45S precursor that also contains 18S and 28S rRNA. The record is from RNAcentral. Lineage: Eukaryota; Viridiplantae; Streptophyta; Magnoliopsida; Ericales; Theaceae.